Small nucleolar RNA from Syngnathus acus (greater pipefish), 70 nucleotides. RefSeq annotates it as small nucleolar RNA SNORD49. The record is from RefSeq and is a predicted model, not a curated record. Lineage: Eukaryota; Metazoa; Chordata; Actinopteri; Syngnathiformes; Syngnathidae. The transcript has a single exon.
UUCAGUGAUGAUAAAUGCUGCAUAGGAAGUGCCGUCUGAUGCGAUAACUGACGAUCGCAAUCAUCUGAGA